Long non-coding RNA from Bactrocera oleae (olive fruit fly), 657 nucleotides. RefSeq lists it as uncharacterized. NCBI's taxonomy places the organism in Eukaryota, Metazoa, Arthropoda, Insecta, Diptera, Tephritidae. The record is from RefSeq and is a predicted model, not a curated record.
UCAUUACCGAAUAAAGCGUACUUAUAUGCCUGUUGAAAAAUCGAUGGACAACCAAAAAAUUUAACCUUUUCAGCUAAUAGUAGCUAUUUACCGUCAAUUUGACUAUUGGAUAUUUGGCGAAGUAUCUACAAAAGGUGAAAGGUAUACAACAGUGGUAUAUACCUCAGCAAGCGCUUGUAAAUUGUCAACUCGACUGGCAAUCUUUGCGAAAGAUGAAUGAUGCCAUUGCCGAUGGUGUAUGGUCGCUACGUCGGUUGGCCAGUCGGGUUUUUUUUCGAAAGAGUGUGUAAUUCAUGCUUUAUACACUACGAAAUCAGAGAACUUUUAAGUAGCUGUGAAGGAAGCAUAUGAGACAAUAGCAUUUGUGGGAUGGGCUCUACUAUGCUGAAGAUGCGUAGAAACAUAAGUGUAGAAAUAGUUAAGUGCUUGGGGCUGUGACUGGAGUGACUUGUAAACAAGUGACUAUUACCAGCGAUAAGAGAUGAGCAAUGCAUCAUUCAUAUGAAAUCAUAUUGUAUGUGUAUGUGUAUGAAUAUCAGUGCUAUGUAAACGAAAUCGAAAUCGAACACGAAUAUUAUAAAAUUAUAUUAAUUUAGAUGAAUUGCAAAUCGAAAUUAAAUAUUGCUUACUUUCGCUUAAAGUGUGAGAUAUGAAAAA